GCAGCGCGGGGCAACCUGGCGGCGAGCGGCGAACGGGUGAGUAAUGCAUCGGAACAUGUCCAAUUGUGGGGGAUAGCCCGGCGAAAGCCGGAUUAAUACCGCAUGAGCCCGAGAGGGGAAAGUGGGGGACCGCAAGGCCUCACGCGAUUGGGUUGGCCGAUGUCCGAUUAGCUAGUUGGCGGGGUAAAGGCCCACCAAGGCGAUGAUCGGUAGCUGGUCUGAGAGGAUGAUCAGCCACACUGGGACUGAGACACGGCCCAGACUCCUACGGGAGGCAGCAGUGGGGAAUUUUGGACAAUGGGGGAAACCCUGAUCCAGCCAUUCCGCGUGAGUGAAGAAGGCCUUCGGGUUGUAAAGCUCUUUUGUCCGGAACGAAACGGGUAAGGCUAAUACCUUUGCCUACUGACGGUACCGGAAGAAUAAGCACCGGCUAACUACGUGCCAGCAGCCGCGGUAAUACGUAGGGUGCGAGCGUUAAUCGGAAUUACUGGGCGUAAAGCGUGCGCAGGCGGUUUUGCAAGCCAGAUGUGAAAGCCCCGGGCUCAACCUGGGAAUGGCAUUUGGGACUGCAAGGCUGGAGUGUGGCAGAGGAGACUGGAAUUCCUGGUGUAGCAGUGAAAUGCGUAGAUAUCAGGAGGAAUACCGAUGGCGAAGGCAGGUCUCUGGGCUGACACUGACGCUCAUGCACGAAAGCGUGGGGAGCAAACAGGAUUAGAUACCCUGGUAGUCCACGCCCUAAACGAUGUCGACUGGUUGUUGGGGGUUUGACACUCUCAGUAACGAAGCUAACGCGU
RNAcentral lists this ribosomal RNA (794 nucleotides) under uncultured beta proteobacterium. RNAcentral describes it as "bacterial SSU rRNA". It matches the Rfam family "Bacterial small subunit ribosomal RNA", at positions 69 to 860 of the family's 1533-position model. The record is from RNAcentral. Lineage: Bacteria; Pseudomonadati; Pseudomonadota; Betaproteobacteria.